UACGAAGGGGGCUAGCGUUGUUCGGAAUCACUGGGCGUAAAGCGCACGUAGGCGGACCAUUAAGUCAGGGGUGAAAGCCUGGAGCUCAACUCCAGAACUGCCUUUGAUACUGAUGGUCUCGAGUGUGGAAGAGGUUGGUGGAACUGCGAGUGUAGAGGUGAAAUUCGUAGAUAUUCGCAAGAACACCAGUGGCGAAGGCGGCCAACUGGUCCAUUACUGACGCUGAGGUGCGAAAGCGUGGGGAGCAAAC
RNAcentral lists this ribosomal RNA (250 nucleotides) under uncultured bacterium. RNAcentral describes it as "partial 16S ribosomal RNA". It matches the Rfam family "Bacterial small subunit ribosomal RNA", at positions 524 to 773 of the family's 1533-position model. The record is from RNAcentral.